This 204-nucleotide long non-coding RNA is filed under the name Capsicum annuum. Its description in RNAcentral is "long non-coding RNA (CANN_LNC004048)". The record is from RNAcentral. Lineage: Eukaryota; Viridiplantae; Streptophyta; Magnoliopsida; Solanales; Solanaceae.
CCCAAUCUCAAGCCCAAGUCUACGCCCAAGCUCCAUAUAUUCCUCCCCACCAUUACUACCCUCCACAAAACCCUUUAUAUUCCAUUCCACCACCCCCGUACCCAGUAUAUAGCGUGCAGCCAUAUGCCCAAACUCCUUCUUACCCGCAGUGGCGCACGCAAGCUCCACAAAAUCACCCAUUCACUCCACCAAAUUACCAAAACC